RNAcentral lists this ribosomal RNA (253 nucleotides) under uncultured bacterium. RNAcentral describes it as "partial 16S ribosomal RNA". It matches the Rfam family "Bacterial small subunit ribosomal RNA", at positions 524 to 776 of the family's 1533-position model. The record is from RNAcentral.
UACGAAGGGGGCUAGCGUUGUUCGGAAUUACUGGGCGUAAAGCGUGCGCAGGCGGUUCUGCAAGACCGGGGUGAAAUCCCCGGGCUCAACCUGGGAACUGCCUUUGUGACUGCAUGGCUAGAGUACGGUAGAGGGGGAUGGAAUUCCGCGUGUAGCAGUGAAAUGCGUAGAUAUGCGGAGGAACACCGAUGGCGAAGGCAAUCCCCUGGACCUGUACUGACGCUCAUGCACGAAAGCGUGGGGAGCAAACAGG